This 368-nucleotide ribosomal RNA is filed under the name uncultured organism. RNAcentral describes it as "bacterial SSU rRNA". It matches the Rfam family "Bacterial small subunit ribosomal RNA", at positions 526 to 896 of the family's 1533-position model. The record is from RNAcentral.
CGGAGGGUGCAAGCGUUAUCCGGAUUCACUGGGUUUAAAGGGUGUGUAGGCGGAUAUUUAAGUCAGUGGUGAAAUCUCCAGGCUCAACCUGGAACUGCCAUUGAUACUAUUUAUCUUGAAUAUCGUUGAGGUAGGCGGAAUAUGUCAUGUAGCGGUGAAAUGCUUAGAGAUGACAUAGAACACCAAUUGCGAAGGCAGCUUACUAAACGAUUAUUGACGCUGAGGCACGAAAGCGUGGGGGAUCAAACAGGAUUAGAUACCCUGGUAGUCCACGCCCUAAACGAUGAUUACUCGACAUACGCGAUACACAGUGUGUGUCUGAGCGAAAGCAUUAAGUAAUCCACCUGGGAAGUACGACCGCAAGGUUG